Molecule: unclassified non-coding RNA, 516 nt
Filed under: Hevea brasiliensis (rubber tree)
Lineage: Eukaryota; Viridiplantae; Streptophyta; Magnoliopsida; Malpighiales; Euphorbiaceae
Source: RNAcentral
GCUAGCCCCUACUAUGGGGUUUCAAAGUUCAUAAUCUGUAUUCUGAUUUGAACAGAACUACUACCGUCAUAGUUGUACAUGCCUUUAUAAAGUAAGAUCAGAUUCUCUAAAUCUAACAUCUUGGACCUACAUCUACUGCUAAAGAUCAGUGUGCAUCCCAAGCAGCUAUUUUCUUUAUAUACAAAGAACAUCAAAUAAUACAUACAUACUUAGUUUUGCUCCUUGUACGGAGUCCAUAUCAAUUUGCUGACAUCAACUUCCAGGCCACCCCGCCCAGCAGCUUUGAGAUGACGAUCUAAGACUUUCGGGUCUGCGCAGAUGACAUGCUGCCCCUUUCGAUAUUGGAUCAACUCUAAACCCUGAAGGGUGGACAAAAUAUCUUCUGCCUUGAUGGCUGUCAUGUCACUUAGUUCCUUGAUAGAUAUAUUGCCCUUGUGCUUUUUCAAUAUAUCCAGAAGCACACGCGUCCAGUAACCCCUAUAGCUCAACAUUCCCAAGUCGGAAAGUGGCCUUUCU